UUCGGGGGUACACGAGCGGCGAACGGGUGAGUAACACGUGAGCAAUCUGCCCUUCACUCGCGGAUAACUACCGGAAACGGUGGCUAAUACGUGAUGCGACCGCUUCCUGCAUGGGAUGGUGGUGGAAAGUUUUGGCGGUGGGGGAUGAGCUCGCGGCCUAUCAGCUUGUUGGUGAGGUAAUGGCUUACCAAGGCUUCGACGGGUAGCCGGCCUGAGAGGGUGACCGGCCACACUGGGACUGAGACACGGCCCAGACUCCUACGGGAGGCAGCAGUGGGGAAUAUUGGACAAUGGGCGAAAGCCUGAUCCAGCAACGCCGCGUGAGGGAUGACGGCCUUCGGGUUGUAAACCUCUUUCAGUACCGACGAAGCGCAAGUGACGGUAGGUACAGAAGAAGCACCGGCCAACUACGUGCCAGCAGCCGCGGUAAUACGUAGGGUGCGAGCGUUGUCCGGAAUUAUUGGGCGUAAAGGGCUCGUAGGCGGUUUGUCACGUCGGGAGUGAAAACUCGGGGCUUAACUCCGAGCCUGCUUCCGAUACGGGCUGACUAGAGGUAUGCAGGGGAGAACGGAAUUCCUGGUGUAGCGGUGAAAUGCGCAGAUAUCAGGAGGAACACCGGUGGCGAAGGCGGUUCUCUGGGCAUUACCUGACGCUGAGGAGCGAAAGUGUGGGGAGCGAACAGGAUUAGAUACCCUGGUAGUCCACACCGUAAACGUUGGGCGCUAGGUGU
RNAcentral lists this ribosomal RNA (730 nucleotides) under Nocardioides sp. I27. RNAcentral's name for it is "bacterial SSU rRNA". It matches the Rfam family "Bacterial small subunit ribosomal RNA", at positions 79 to 823 of the family's 1533-position model. Lineage: Bacteria; Bacillati; Actinomycetota; Actinomycetes; Propionibacteriales; Nocardioidaceae. The record is from RNAcentral.